RNAcentral lists this unclassified non-coding RNA (342 nucleotides) under fungal sp. RNAcentral describes it as "partial internal transcribed spacer region". The stretch from base 1 to 46 matches the Rfam family "Eukaryotic small subunit ribosomal RNA", at positions 1786 to 1831 of the family's 1831-position model. The record is from RNAcentral. Lineage: Eukaryota; Fungi.
AAGUCGUAACAAGGUUUCCGUAGGUGAACCUGCGGAAGGAUCAUUAAUAAUUCAAACUACACAUGGAGUUUACUCUUUGCUGUCUGUUUAACUAUUAUCCAUUAACAACCUGUGAACUUAUUGAACCAAUCAUGCACUUGCAUGUAAGGAGAGUAUAUCUCUCUUUGCGUGCAUUAGUGCAGUUCUCUUUCGAGAGGGCUGCGCUUCUAACAAAGUGCACCUUUAACAACACCUUUAAACCUUUACAAAUGUCAAGUCUGAUCAGUUAAAAAGCAUCCGCAAGGGUUUACUUUUACAAUUUAUAAACUUAAACAACUUUUAACAAUGGAUCUCUUGGCUCCU